Molecule: ribosomal RNA, 555 nt
Filed under: Probreviceps uluguruensis (Uluguru big-fingered frog)
Lineage: Eukaryota; Metazoa; Chordata; Amphibia; Anura; Brevicipitidae
Description: partial 16S ribosomal RNA
Rfam family: Bacterial large subunit ribosomal RNA
Source: RNAcentral
CGCCUCCUGACUAAUGAUAGGAGGUCCAGCCUGCCCAAUGAUACAUUGAAUGGCCGCGGUACUCUUACCGUGCGAAGGUAGCAUAAUCACUUGUUCAUUAAAUGUGGACUAGUAUGAACGGCAUCACGAGGGCCACACUGUCUCCCUACUCCAAUCAAUGAAACUAUUCUUCCCGUGAAGAAACGGGAAUUUUUCUAUAAGACGAGAAGACCCCAUGGAGCUUUAAACCCAGAACAUCUACCAACUCCCCAUUUCAACCUAAAUUUAGUACCCAUGCUUUCUGGUUUUCGGUUGGGGCGACCACGGAGUAAAAAAAAUCCUCCACGAUGAACAAGCUUUACUUUUACCUAAGAGAUACACCUCUAAGGAUCCUUAACAUGACAUUUAUUGACCCAAGCCUACUUGAUCAACGAACCUAGUUACCCUGGGGAUAACAGCGCAAUCCAUUUCAAGAGCCCGUAUCGACAAAUGGGUUUACGACCUCGAUGUUGGAUCAGGGUAUCCCAGUGGUGCAACCGCUACUAAAGGGUUGUUUGGUCAACAAUUAAUAACCCU